UACGGGGGGGGCGAGCGUUAUUCGGAAUUAUUGGGCGUAAAGGGCGUGUAGGCGGCCUCGCGUGUCCUCUGUGAAAGCCCUCGGCUCAACCGAGGAACUGCAGGGGAAACUGCAAGGCUCGAGUCCGGGAGAGGAGAGCGGAAUUCCCAGUGUAGCGGUGAAAUGCGUAGAUAUUGGGAGGAACACCAGUGGCGAAGGCGGCUCUCUGGACCGGUACUGACGCUAAAGCGCGAAAGCUAGGGGAGCAAACGGG
Molecule: ribosomal RNA, 253 nt
Filed under: uncultured bacterium
Lineage: Bacteria
Description: partial 16S ribosomal RNA
Rfam family: Bacterial small subunit ribosomal RNA
Source: RNAcentral